RNAcentral lists this ribosomal RNA (773 nucleotides) under uncultured bacterium. Its description in RNAcentral is "bacterial SSU rRNA". It matches the Rfam family "Bacterial small subunit ribosomal RNA", at positions 62 to 827 of the family's 1533-position model. The record is from RNAcentral.
UCGAGCGCGAAAGGAGCAUUCCGAGUAGAGCGGCGCACGGGUGCGUAACACGUGGGUAAUCUGCCUCAAGGUCUGGGAUAACCUUCCGAAAGGUUGGCUAAUACCAGGUAAGCUCACGGCGUCUUCGGACGCUGAGAGAAAAGGGGCCCGAAAGGGUCUCGCCAUGAGAUGAGCCCGCGGCCCAUCAGCUCGUUGGCGGGGUAACGGCCCACCAAGGCUACGACGGGUAGCUGGUCUGAGAGGACGAUCAGCCACACUGGAACUGAGACACGGUCCAGACUCCUACGGGAGGCAGCAGUGGGGAAUUUUGCACAAUGGGCGCAAGCCUGAUGCAGCAACGCCGCGUGUGUGAUGAAGGUCUUCGGAUCGUAAAGCACUUUCGACCGGGACGAACAAGCCUGGCCACACCAGGCCCUGACGGUACCGGGAGAAGAAGCACCGGCUAACUCUGUGCCAGCAGCCGCGGUAAUACAGAGGGUGCAAGCGUUGUUCGGAAUUAUUGGGCGUAAAGCGCGUGUAGGCGGCUUAGCAAGUCGGGCGUGAAAGCCCUCGGCUCAACCGAGGAAGUGCACCCGAAACUGCUGAGCUUGAGUGCCGGAGAGGAUGGCGGAAUUCCCCAAGUAGAGGUGAAAUUCGUAGAUAUGGGGAGGAACACCGGUGGCGAAGGCGGCCAUCUGGACGGUAACUGACGCUGAGACGCGAAAGCGUGGGGAGCAAACAGGAUUAGAUACCCUGGUAGUCCACGCCGUAAACGAUGAGAACUAGAUGUCGCG